Molecule: ribosomal RNA, 414 nt
Filed under: uncultured microorganism
Description: bacterial SSU rRNA
Rfam family: Bacterial small subunit ribosomal RNA
Source: RNAcentral
GAGUUUGAUCCUGGCUCAGAUUGAACGCUGGCGGCAUGCCUUACACAUGCAAGUCGAACGGCAGCAUGAUCUAGCUUGCUAGAUUGAUGGCGAGUGGCGAACGGGUGAGUAAUACAUCGGAACGUGCCCUGUAGUGGGGGAUAACUAGUCGAAAGAUUAGCUAAUACCGCAUACGACCUGAGGGUGAAAGUGGGGGACCGCAAGGCCUCAUGCUAUAGGAGCGGCCGAUGUCUGAUUAGCUAGUUGGUGGGUAAAGGCCCACCAAGGCGACGAUCAGUAGCUGGUCUGAGAGGACGAUCAGCCACACUGGGACUGAGACACGGCCCAGACCCCUACGGGAGGCAGCAGUGGGGAAUUUUGGACAAUGGGCGAAAGCCUGAUCCAGCAAUGCCGCGUGUGUGAAGAAGGCCUCGG